This 759-nucleotide ribosomal RNA is filed under the name uncultured marine bacterium. Its description in RNAcentral is "bacterial SSU rRNA". It matches the Rfam family "Bacterial small subunit ribosomal RNA", at positions 60 to 866 of the family's 1533-position model. The record is from RNAcentral.
AGUCGAACGAAGUAGCAAUACUUAGUGGCAGACGGGUGAGUAACAUGUAGGUAUCUGCCCUUUGGCCUGGAAUAACACGAGGAAACUUGUGCUAAUACUGGAUAAGUCUUUACAGAGAAAGCUUUAUGCACCAUUGGAUGAGCCUGCACUUGAUUAGUUUGUUGGUGGGGUAAUGGCCUACCAAGACUUUGAUCAAUAGCUGAUUUGAGAGGAUGAUCAGCCACAUUGGGACUGAGACACGGCCCAAACUCCUACGGGAGGCAGCAGUGGGGAAUCUUGCACAAUGGAGGAAACUCUGAUGCAGCGAUGCCGCGUGAGUGAAGAAGGCCCUUGGGUUGUAAAGCUCUUUCGUCGGGGAAGAAAAUGACUGUACCCGAAUAAGAAGGUCCGGCUAACUUCGUGCCAGCAGCCGCGGUAAUACGAAGGGACCUAGCGUAGUUCGGAAUUACUGGGCUUAAAGAGUUCGUAGGUGGUUGAAAAAGUUGGUGGUGAAAUCCCAGAGCUUAACUCUGGAACUGCCAUCAAAACUUUUCAGCUAGAGUAUGAUAGAGGAAAGCAGAAUUUCUAGUGUAGAGGUGAAAUUCGUAGAUAUUAGAAAGAAUACCAAUUGCGAAGGCAGCUUUCUGGAUCAUUACUGACGCUGAGGAACGAAAGCAUGGGUAGCGAAGAGGAUUAGAUACCCUCGUAGUCUCAUGCCGUAAACGAUGUGUGUUAGACGUUGGAAAUUUAUUUUCAGUGUCGCAGUGAAAGCGAUAAACA